RNAcentral lists this non-coding RNA (116 nucleotides) under Actinoplanes missouriensis. RNAcentral describes it as "SAM-IV sequence". It matches the Rfam family "SAM (S-adenosyl methionine) riboswitch aptamer". Rfam says of the family: SAM-IV is a mRNA element that regulates gene expression via direct sensing of S-adenosylmethionine (SAM or AdoMet). SAM-IV riboswitches share conserved nucleotide positions with the previously described SAM-I riboswitches sequence analysis and molecular recognition experiments suggest that SAM-I and SAM-IV riboswitches share similar ligand binding sites, but have different scaffolds. The record is from RNAcentral. RNAcentral also lists the same sequence under 1 other name. Lineage: Bacteria; Bacillati; Actinomycetota; Actinomycetes; Micromonosporales; Micromonosporaceae.
GGUCAUGAGUGCCAGCACGAAGCCCCGGCUUGCUGGCCGGCAACCCUUGCGUUCGCGAUGGGGUGCCCCGGGUGAGGACCGGGCCGUGGUCGAACCCGACACGGCAAGUGCGAGCC